GAUGAAGAACGUAGCGAAAUGCGAUACUUGGUGUGAAUUGCAGAAUCCCGUGAACCAUCGAGUCUUUGAACGCAAGUUGCGCCCGAAGCCAUUAGGCCGAGGGCACGCCUGCCUGGGCGUCACACGUCGUUGCCCCCCCAUCUACUCCUUCGGGAUUGCGAGGGGCGGAUGAUGGCCUCCCGUGCGCCUCGUCGCGCGGUUGGCAUAAAUGCCAAGUCCUCGGCGACGCACGCCACGACAAUCGGUGGUUGCGAAACCUCGGUUGCCCGUCGUGUGCGGUCGUCGCGCAUCGAGGGCUCGAAAAAACUGUCGGGCUCCGGCUCGGCUUUCAACGCGACCCCAGGUCAGGCGGGGUUACCCGCUGAAUUUAAGCAUAUCAAUAAGCGGAGGA
RNAcentral lists this unclassified non-coding RNA (391 nucleotides) under soil metagenome. RNAcentral describes it as "partial contains 5.8S ribosomal RNA, internal transcribed spacer 2, and large subunit ribosomal RNA". The stretch from base 1 to 122 matches the Rfam family "5.8S ribosomal RNA", at positions 35 to 154 of the family's 154-position model. The record is from RNAcentral.